AUGGGGUCUACAUCUCAAUAAAUAUCAUAAUUUUGUGUAAGCAUUUUGCAGAUUAUUCUGCAAAUCAUAAUGAAUAUAACCAAUUUAUGGAAAUUCUGAAUGAAAAAAAGAAAGAAAGAAAAGAAAUGAUGAUGGAUGGAAAGAGAGUCUUUGUUGUUGUUGUUGUUAAUAUAAGCACCAACUCUCUUUUACAUUGAAAGCCUCUCCUUCAAAAAAGCCUAAAACUCAGAGCCAUACACUUUCUUUCUUUCCUUCACACACAAAAGCCAGAGCUUGCCUGUGUAUAUAUAGUUGUGAACCCUGUUGAAGAAUUGAGAAGAAGGUGUGAAAGAGGUGAAGUUUUGGUGAUCAAUUCAACUGCAACUGGAGGAGGCAUCCAAAGGGAUCGCAUUGAUCCCAAAUCUUGAUCUAUUUUUCCAUUUUUACAAUAUUUGAGAUCAUGCUAUCCCUUUGGAUUCAUCCUCUGGUGGCUUCUACUAUGAUCGUUCUGGUGGACAAACUCUGACUCCAUUUACUUCAAAGCAUUUCCCAUGGCAAAACUGCAUUAUGGAGAUGAAAGAGAGUGGCAUAAUUCAUAGUCCAAUAUAUACCCUUAAUUUUUGCAAAAAUAGGCUUUAUCUUGAUGACUGCAAUAUUCAUGCUUUGCUGAUGACUGAUGAACAUGGUUGAAUUAGUAUCUCAAAUCUGAAAUCUCCACACAGAUCCAAUUCUUCAGUCAAGAGGGACUGGAUGCUACUAUAGUAAUAUGAUUGUUAUUCUGGAACCAAGUGCCUUUCAUCCUAUGGCUGCUGUAUAAUAUAAUUUAGCAGUGUGCUUUUUCAUGAAUGUCAAAAAACUGUCAGUGAUCAGUGUAUGUACAGUACUCACCUCACCUAUAAACUUUUUGAUUCACAUAAACUUUUUCUUUCAUUUCAUUUAUGUUUACUCUUUUUUCUUUUCUUGUUAUAUCAUUUAUCAUUUGUUUCAGUUCAUUCUCCUAUAUUUUCUAUUUCUCUUUGGAUCUGUGAGUGUAUUUGGGUGUAAAUAGAAUUUUGUUAUUCAAAACUUUAGAGUCCUCCAGUGAUGGCCACUCAAUAUAGUACAGAAUUGCUUCAACAUGCAAGUUAAAUGCCUACUUGAAGUAGGUGAAAUACUUACAUGAAGACUCUCUUUUGCAGCUGUUGCAUUAAGAUUUUCAAAUUAUAAUCUGUUCAGUGUUUCUAUUAUGUGCUUUCAAGAAGUUUGGUAUAUUUGACAAAAAAAAUUAAAGAAGUUUGGUAUAGAUUGAAGGAAACACUAAUAUGCAAUUUUAUGUGGAUAAUUAAGAAUUUUUUUCAUCCUCAGUAUGUAAGCUAAUUUCCUAAUUUUAAUCAAGUAACUUAAAUUUUUAUGGGAUCUAGAAAUGGAAAUGAUCUAUGGAUAUACGAUUUCGGUCGAUCAGUUUCCAACACACAGAUUUGUGCUAGUUUUUAACCGUCACUAAUGUUUGUAGAAAAUAAUUAAUGUUUGUAAGGAAUAAAACCGCCAGUAAAAUGUACGGCUAUUGAAUGUCACAUAAAAAUAAUAUGUAUGUAUAUCAUUACUGGUUUAGAAAUUAAAGGAAGGAAAGAAAGUAACCUCACCCAAAAGCUAUACAAAUCCGCAUAUUCUUGUUCUUUACAAGUUGAAGAUGGAUGUCACUGUUGCAAAAAUAAAGAAUCAUAAUUAGGUAAAAUGUACAGUGGAAGCAAGCUAGCUAGUAAUUUAUCAGUACUAUGAAUAAAACAGUACUGAGUACAUGCAUUUUUAACUUGGCCAAAAAUCACUUCUACCUCAUUUGGAAAGUUUUUUUUUUUAAUUUUGAUCAUGACAUGUAUUCAACAAAAUUAAUUUCACCUUUUGAUAAAGCAUUUUUCCCCCACCCAUUGAACACUCAUAGUUUUCUGACCACACUUGAGUUGUCAUGUACAUGAUCUUCUGAACCAAACAGUUCUGCAUUGCUAUAAGAGUGCUGGAAUUGACUCCAUCUUUACUUCGUUACACAGUCACAACAUUUUUAUGACGGAUUAUCUCAUUUCCUAUUUUACGAGUGAAAUUUUAACAGUCACUUAAAAAUUCUGGAUGCGUUGGUUACAAACUAAUUACAAAAAUACUUUAAACUUGACACGGUAAAAUUUCAUUGGUUAGACAUAAAAAUGGGACAGAAAAUUAAGACAGAAGAUCUUAACUAAUACACUUGUAAAUUGUAGUUACUGUUGGGGGACAUGCCUUGUGUUUUGCAAUUACUAUUGUAGUUGUAUUGAUAGAAAUUGCAUGAAAAUGUAACUGAAAUCACAAUUAAAUGGGAGUCCUAAACCACAACAGUGUAGCUUCAAUUGAAGUAUAGCUAGCAUGUGGCCUGGCAAUUUAAAACCAUUGAGUUUAGAGUCAAUUGUACUCCAAAACACACGUGCCUCUUUUGGACCUGAAUUAGAAUCCAAGGCAGUGAAAGGUGUUCUCUUUAUUUAGGAAGUUCUUUACAUCACUUUUGAGCGUCACACAGGGUGUUCUAUAGGUAAUGGAAUCAUACAUAUAAAAGAAAAACAUGAUACUAGAAAACUCUCAUUAUGUGCAAGGUUUAGAGAUCAGUCGGAUCCAUUUUGUGGAUUUAGUACUUUAGAGUUUAGGUUACAUUAUCUUUCAUUACAAGUGACUGACUCCACGUUUUGAACCUGUGAUUAUAUAUAUUACUGCAAAGACUUACGAUAAUAAUUUUACUGUUGCGCCGAGACUCACUUCUUGUAACGAAAUCAACGCAUGUGCAAAUUGAAGACUUUCAAAAUUGAAGUUUUCUAACAUUGCUUAUCUUUAAUUGAAAUAAAACGCGCGGUCUUUAAUUUUUUCUGUUUUACGUCCUUAUUCUUAGCACAUGAUUCCCAACGUUCUAAUUAAGGUUAAGCCCAUACCAAACUUUUCUUCA
Long non-coding RNA from Lotus japonicus, 2917 nucleotides. RefSeq lists it as uncharacterized. NCBI's taxonomy places the organism in Eukaryota, Viridiplantae, Streptophyta, Magnoliopsida, Fabales, Fabaceae. The transcript is spliced from 2 exons. The record is from RefSeq and is a predicted model, not a curated record.